This 196-nucleotide unclassified non-coding RNA is filed under the name uncultured Ascomycota. Its description in RNAcentral is "sequence contains ITS1". Lineage: Eukaryota; Fungi; Ascomycota. The record is from RNAcentral.
CCAAAAAGUGAGAAAUCGCUUUCAACCUGCUCGGUGGCCCUUCUGGGCCGCUGAACCGGUCAACCCUCUGUGAACCAAAAAAACCUUUCGCUUCGGCAGCUGGGUCCCAACGGGCCCGUCAGCCUGCCGCUAGCACCAACCUUCAAAACCUGUUGUCAAACAUUGUCUGAUAACCAAAAUUUUCGAAUGAAAAUCA